GACGAACCGAGCGAACGUUGUUCGGAAUCACUGGGCUUAAAGGGCGCGUAGGCGGAUUCUCAAGUCCGGGGUGAAGUCCCACAGCUCAACUGUGGAACUGCCUCGGAUACUGGGGGUCUCGAGGGUGGCAGGGGUAUGCGGAACUAUCGGUGGAGCGGUGAAAUGCGUUGAUAUCGAUAGGAACUCCGGUGGCGAAGGCGGCAUACUGGUCCACUUCUGACGCUGAGGCGCGAAAGCCAGGGGAGCAAACGGG
RNAcentral lists this ribosomal RNA (253 nucleotides) under uncultured bacterium. RNAcentral's name for it is "partial 16S ribosomal RNA". It matches the Rfam family "Bacterial small subunit ribosomal RNA", at positions 524 to 776 of the family's 1533-position model. The record is from RNAcentral.